RNAcentral lists this ribosomal RNA (478 nucleotides) under uncultured bacterium. RNAcentral's name for it is "partial 16S ribosomal RNA". It matches the Rfam family "Bacterial small subunit ribosomal RNA", at positions 28 to 507 of the family's 1533-position model. The record is from RNAcentral.
GAUUAACGCUGGCGGCGUGCCUAACACAUGCAAGUCGAACGAUGAAACUCAUUAGAUUUCUUCGGAAUGAAAAUGAAUGGAUUAGUGGCGAACGGGUGAGUAACGCGUGAGUAACCUGCCUUACACAAGGGGAUAGCCUCUGGAAACGGAGAAUAAUACCCUAUGAAACCAGACAAUCGCAUGAUAAUCUGGUCAAAAUGUUUAGUGGUGUAAGAUGGACUUGCGUCUGAUUAGCUAGUUGGUGAGAUAAAAGCUCACCAAGGCAACGAUCAGUAGCCGGCUUGAGAGAGUGUACGGCCACAUUGGGACUGAGACACGGCCCAGACUCCUACGGGAGGCAGCAGUGGGGAAUUUUGCACAAGGGGGGAAACCCUGAGGCAGCGACGCCGCGUGAUUUAGAAGGCCUUCGGGUUGUAAAAAUCUUUUGUAUAGGAAGAAAAUGACAGUACUAUACGAAUAAGGUCCGGCUAAUUACGUG